This 233-nucleotide non-coding RNA is filed under the name Anaerosphaera aminiphila. RNAcentral describes it as "T-box sequence". It matches the Rfam family "T-box leader". From Rfam's summary of the family: Uncharged tRNA acts as the effector for transcription antitermination of genes in the T-box leader family. T-boxes are found upstream of many aminoacyl-tRNA synthetase genes and some amino acid biosynthetic genes usually in Gram-positive bacteria. The record is from RNAcentral. Lineage: Bacteria; Bacillati; Bacillota; Tissierellia; Tissierellales; Peptoniphilaceae.
UGAAGAGCUAUGAUAAAGAAAAAGAUAUUGGAAUUUAUUUUAGAGAGUCAGAUUAGGUGAAAGCUGACAUAGAGGAAAAUAUGUAAUAUUCACUUUUAAGCUUGAUGGUAGAAUGUUAGUAGACUGUCACGGAUGCCACCGUUAUUUUAGGCUAGGGAUUUUUUGAUUCUGAAAAUGAGGUAAUCUUUAGAUUAUAAACUUAGGUGGUACCGCGAAUACACUUCGUCCUAUAU